This 838-nucleotide ribosomal RNA is filed under the name uncultured bacterium. RNAcentral's name for it is "bacterial SSU rRNA". It matches the Rfam family "Bacterial small subunit ribosomal RNA", at positions 524 to 1381 of the family's 1533-position model. The record is from RNAcentral.
UACGAGGGAUGCAAGCUUUAUCCGGAAUUAUUGGGCGUAAAGCGUUUGUAGGCGGGCGAGUGUGUUUAAUGUUAAAUCUUAAAGCUCAACUUUGAAAUUGCGUUAAAAACUGCUUGUCUUGAGUAUGGUAGGGGUAAAGGGAAUUCCCAGUGUAGCGGUGAAAUGCGUAGACAUUGGGAAGAACACUAAACAGCGAAGGCACUUUACUAGGCUAAUACUGACGCUGAGAAACGAAAGGUAAGGUAGCGAAACGGAUUAGAUACCCGUGUAGUCUUACCCGUAAACUAUGGACACUAAACGGUAAAUUUUUAAUUUACUGUUAAAGCUAACGCGUUAAGUGUCCCGCCUGGGGAGUAUGCUUGCAAAAGUGAAACUCAAAGGAAUUGACGGGGGCCCGCACAAGCGGUGGAGCAUGUGGUUUAAUUCGACGGUACACGAAGAACCUUACCAGGAUUUGACAUGCUAGAUAGUUGCUUGAAAGAGUAACGUGCCGUAAGGAAUCUAGACACAGGUGGUGCAUGGCUGUCGUCAGUUCGUGUUGUGAAAUGUUGGGUUAAGUCCCGCAACGAACGCAACCCUUGUCUUUAGUUAUUUUCUAAAGAGACUGCCUGUAAUAAACAGGAGGAAGGUAAGGAUGAGGUCAAGUCAUCAUGCCCCUUAUGUCCUGGGCUACACACGUGCUACAAUGGGAAAGACAAUGAGCUGCAAAUCUGUAAAUUUAAGCAAAUCUCUUAAACUUUCUCGUAGUUCGGAUUGUGGGCUGCAACUCGCCCACAUGAAGUUGGAAUCGCUAGUAAUCGCCAGUCAGCUAUAUGGCGGUGAAUCCGUUCCCGGGCCU